This 207-nucleotide unclassified non-coding RNA is filed under the name Entoloma pleopodium. RNAcentral describes it as "partial internal transcribed spacer 2". The record is from RNAcentral. Lineage: Eukaryota; Fungi; Basidiomycota; Agaricomycetes; Agaricales; Entolomataceae.
AAUUCUCAACCUGUCUAACUUGAAAGAGCUAGAUCAGGCUUGGAUGGUGGAGGUUGCUGGUUUCCCAGAAAUCAGCUCUUCUUAAAUGUAUUAGCAGAAACUUUGCUAAUUAUCUUUGGUACGAUAAUUAUCUAUACCACGGACAAUUGGUUCCUUCAUUGGAGGGUUUUGCUGCUUCUAAUAGUCUAUUCAGACAAUUCUUGACAA